RNAcentral lists this unclassified non-coding RNA (238 nucleotides) under fungal sp. RNAcentral describes it as "partial internal transcribed spacer region". The stretch from base 1 to 46 matches the Rfam family "Eukaryotic small subunit ribosomal RNA", at positions 1786 to 1831 of the family's 1831-position model. Lineage: Eukaryota; Fungi. The record is from RNAcentral. RNAcentral also lists the same sequence under 1 other name.
AAGUCGUAACAAGGUUUCCGUAGGUGAACCUGCGGAAGGAUCAUUAUUGAAUGUAUUCCAUUCCAUGUCAGUGAAACGUAGUUGUUGUGGUGACAAUCUGGUCACUGUUGGCGCAGCAUUACUGCUGGGUCGGCGGCGUCCAAGUUGUCACCGCCAGUUAUCCAUGUUGAUUAACUCUUAGUCUGAACUUUAUAUAACAAUAUAAAGACAACUUUUAGCAACGGAUCUCUUGGCUCUC